RNAcentral lists this ribosomal RNA (497 nucleotides) under uncultured bacterium. RNAcentral describes it as "partial 16S ribosomal RNA". It matches the Rfam family "Bacterial small subunit ribosomal RNA", at positions 29 to 523 of the family's 1533-position model. The record is from RNAcentral.
AAUAAACGCUGGCGGCGUGCCUAACACAUGCAAGUCGAGCGAGAAAGCUCCUUCGGGAGUGAGUACAGCGGCGAACGGGUGAGCAACGCGUGGGAAUCUACCCUUCAGUGAAGAAUACCCUUGAGAAAUCGAGGUUAAUACUGCAUACGUCCUGUAAAGGAGAAAGAUGGCCUCUUUGCUGUCGUUGAAGGAUGAGCCUGCGUACUAUUAGCUAGUUGGUAGGGUAACGGCCUACCAAGGCGAUGAUGGUUAACCGGCCUGAGAGGGUGUACGGUCACACUGGAACUUAGACACGGUCCAGACUCCUACGGGAGGCAGCAGUGGGAAAUAUUGGACAAUGGGGGGAACCCUGAUCCAGCCAUGCCGCGUGUGUGAAGAAGGCCUUCGGGUUGUAAAGCACUUUCAGUAGGGAGGAAGAGUUGAGUGUUAAUAGUACUCAGCUUUGACGUUACCUACAGAAGAAGCACCGGCUAACUCUGUGCCAGCCGCCGCAGUAA